GAUCAUGGCUCAGGAUGAACGCUGGCGGCGUGCCUAAUACAUGCAAGUAGAACGCUGAAGCUUGGUGCUUGCACCGAGCGGAUGAGUUGCGAACGGGUGAGUAACACGUGACCGACCUGCCCCCCGCCCAGGGACAGCCCCCCGAAAGGGGGAUUAAUACCUGGUACUCCGGAAGCGGCGCAUGCCGCCCCCGGGAAAGCUCAGGCGGCGGGGGAUGGGGUCGCGGCCCAUCAGGUAGACGGCGGGGCAGAGG
Molecule: ribosomal RNA, 253 nt
Filed under: uncultured bacterium
Lineage: Bacteria
Description: partial 16S ribosomal RNA
Rfam family: Bacterial small subunit ribosomal RNA
Source: RNAcentral